AUGAACGCUGACAGAAUGCUUCACCCCUGCAAGUCUACUUGAACUUCGGUUUGGGUGGCGGACGGGUGAGUAACGCGUAAAGAACUUGCCUCACAGAUAGGGACAACAUUUGGAAACGAAUGCUAAUACCUGAUAUUAUGAUUUUAGGGCAUCCUAGAAUUAUGAAAGCUAUAUGCACUGUGAGAGAGCUUUGCGUCCCAUUAGCUAGUUGGAGAGGUAACGGCUCACCAAGGCGAUGAUGGGUAGCCGGCCUGAGAGGGUGAUCGGCCACAAGGGGACUGAGACACGGCCCUUACUCCUACGGGAGGCAGCAGUGGGGAAUAUUGGACAAUGGACCAAGAGUCUGAUCCAGCAAUUCUGUGUGCACGAUGAAGUUUUUCGGAAUGUAAAGUGCUUUCAGUUGGGAAGAAAAAAAUGACGGUACCAACAGAAGAAGUGACGGCUAAAUACGUG
This 453-nucleotide ribosomal RNA is filed under the name uncultured bacterium. RNAcentral's name for it is "partial 16S ribosomal RNA". It matches the Rfam family "Bacterial small subunit ribosomal RNA", at positions 29 to 507 of the family's 1533-position model. The record is from RNAcentral.